RNAcentral lists this ribosomal RNA (406 nucleotides) under uncultured bacterium. RNAcentral's name for it is "partial 16S ribosomal RNA". It matches the Rfam family "Bacterial small subunit ribosomal RNA", at positions 30 to 526 of the family's 1533-position model. The record is from RNAcentral.
AUUGAACGCUGGCGGCAGGCCUAACACAUGCAAGUCGAACGAGUGGCGGACGGGUGAGUAAUGUCUGGGAAACUGCCUGAUGGAGGGGGAUAACUACUGGAACCGGUAGCUAAUACCGCAUACCAUCAGAUGUGCCCAGAUGGGAUUAGCUUGUUGGUGGGGUAACGGCUCACCAAGGCGACGAUCCCUAGCUGGUCAGAGAGGAGGACCAGCCACACUGGAACUGAGACACGGUCCAGACUCCUACGGGAGGCAGCAGUGGGGAAUAUUGCACAAUGGGCGCAAGCCUGAUGCAGCCAUGCCGCGUGUAUGAAGAAGGCCUUCGGGUUGUAAAGUACUUUCAGCGGGGAGGCGUUACCCGCAGAAGAAGCACCGGCUAACUCCGUGCCAGCAGCCGCGGUAAUAC